CUACGGGAGGCUGCAGUGAGGAAUAUUGCACAAUGGGGGGAACCCUGAUGCAGCAACGCCGCGUGGAGGAUGACGCAUUUCGGUGUGUAAACUCCUUUUAUAUGUCAAGAAAAUGACGGUAGCAUAUGAAUAAGCACCGGCUAACUCCGUGCCAGCAGCCGCGAGUAAUACGGAGGGUGCAAGCGUUACUCGGAAUCACUGGGCGUAAAGGACGCGUAGGCGGGUUAUCAAGUCAGGUGUGAAAUCCUACAGCUUAACUGUAGAACUGCACUUGAAACUGGUAACCUAGAGUAUGGGAGGGGCAGAUGGAAUUAGUGGUGUAGGGGUAAAAUCCGUAGAUAUCACUAGGAAUACCUAAAGCGAAGGCGAUCUGCUGGAACAUAACUGACGCUAAGGCGUGAAAGCGUGGGGAGCAAACAGGAUUAGAUACCCGUGUAGUC
RNAcentral lists this ribosomal RNA (440 nucleotides) under uncultured bacterium. Its description in RNAcentral is "partial 16S ribosomal RNA". It matches the Rfam family "Bacterial small subunit ribosomal RNA", at positions 339 to 795 of the family's 1533-position model. The record is from RNAcentral.